ACACUCAGACGUGGAUGUGCCUACACCAGAAGUGGGAGCCACUGCAUUCCCAGAAGUGGAUCCACUAAACUUCAUCUUCAAGCAGACUUGAGACCUAAAGCAGGAUUUGAAUGGGAGAACCUGUCACUGCUAAACUAGCUGAUAGCUGUGUGCCUGGCUGCCAUUACUCCUUAUUUACCAGCAUUAUUUCUUCCGUUUUCCCAGAGAAGUGCUCUUGUGCUUAUUGAAGUGUGAAGCAGCAACACAAACGUAACAGAGAGAGGAUAGCUGUUUUCUGUAAGAGAAAAAUAUUGAUGACUUGCCCAGUAACAAAGUUGCCUUGAGACAUGCCCAUGGCUUCCUAUCCGGAGCACCAGUUAGGAAGGAUGCUUCAUUGGGAAACACAACCAUCCUGCCAUUAUCUCAGCUGAGGCAAGUGGCUGUUAAACUCAGGUUAUUAAACUCCAGAUUCUUCAUGUGCAGAAACUGCAAAUCUGACUGUCUAAGUACUCUCUCGGUCAGGGCUGGUAGCAGCCACACUUCCUAAUGCCCAUUCUGCACCACUGUGAGAUGUGAGAUACUGGAUCCAAAUUUCAUUGAAUUAUUGAUAUGGGUCAGAACCAACUCAGUGUGAGAGGGGGGGUGUGUGUGUGUGUGUGCGUGUGUGUGUGUAGAAGGACUGGGCCUAGAUCGGCAGGUCCACGGUAAGGCCUGCACACAAGGCCCACUGAGAGCACACAGCAGAGCCAGAAGGCCUGUGGCCAACAUGGCUGAACCCACGGCGAGCACAGGGCAGAGCCAGAGGGCAAGGCCUGCAGCCCAUGGAGAGCACACAGCAGAGCUGCAGCCCUGCAGCCGGGCUGUCAGUCAAGGCCCACUGACACCACACCCCUGCAGCCUGUGACUCGCUACAGCACAACUCACUCAGGCCUGGAAGGCACUGACUGGGUAUCCUGCCUGCGAGGGAAAACUGAACUAUAAAAAUACAUGAGACUCCAUGUGUGUCCUUCUCUGCUCUCCUCUCUGUCCUCUCUCCUGCAACCUGAACUAUGUGAACCAUCAGGUCUUCACUUGGCAAAGGAGAAUAGAAGAUCAUGAGCACAGAGAAGGGGAAAAACAACUGAAUGGAUGUGUCAGAAGCAUGAUUUUGUGAGCAAUAGGAGUGAUCGGCACAUGGCUGGAGAUCUUUUCAUGUUGAUCUACAAAAUGAGUCUUUGAAAUAACCUGAACUAAAACAGAAAAAGAUCUCUUUGUAGAAUAGAGUUUUUCUUUAAUGUGACUAUUUGCCAUGGUUAUUGACUUAAAACCCACUAUAACUGAAAAUAUAAAAUGAAAGCAGUGUGGAUCCUGCAGUGUUCAGGAUAUUACAGUGUGAUUCAAUUCAGAAAUUGCAGGAAGCUGUGCAGAACAUUUGUUGUCAGAUAGGACUGUCAGGCAGGACUAUCAAGGUUCUGAAGAACAGACAAAAUUAUUAGAUUGUGGCCAGAAUUCGUGCAGAGCCAAAAUAAACUUUUGCUUCUUUGACUGCAGAA
Molecule: long non-coding RNA, 1511 nt
Organism: Pseudopipra pipra
Lineage: Eukaryota; Metazoa; Chordata; Aves; Passeriformes; Pipridae
Exons: 2
Source: RefSeq, a predicted model, not a curated record